UGUAGUCAUAUGCUUGUCUCAAAGAUUAAGCCAUGCAUGUCUAAGUAUAAACAACUUUAUACUGUGAAACUGCGAAUGGCUCAUUAAAUCAGUUAUAGUUUAUUUGAUAGUACUUACUACUUGGAUAACCGUGGUAAUUCUAGAGCUAAUACAUGCGAAAAGACCCGACUUCUGGAAGGGUUGUAUUUAUUAGAUAAAAAACCAAUCGGGGCAACCCGUUUGUGGUGAUUCAUAAUAACUUUGCGAAUCGCAUGGCCUUGUGCCGGCGAUGAAUCAUUCAAAUUUCUGCCCUAUCAACUUUCGAUGGUAAGGUAUUGGCUUACCAUGGUUGCAACGGGUAACGGGGAAU
RNAcentral lists this ribosomal RNA (349 nucleotides) under uncultured fungus. RNAcentral's name for it is "SSU rRNA". It matches the Rfam family "Eukaryotic small subunit ribosomal RNA", at positions 21 to 370 of the family's 1831-position model. The record is from RNAcentral. Lineage: Eukaryota; Fungi.